AAAAUCACCCAGCCAACCUCUGAACAAUCCAGGCUGUAUUUUGGACCCCCAAACCCACCAGAGAAUCCAAUAAGGGCUACAGACCAUUUCUCUUGAAAAACAAAACUGCUUUUUAUCUGAGAUAUUGGAAUGUUAACAACAACAACAACAACAACAAAACCAAAGGUAGUGAUCAUUCUAAAAUGCAAAACAAUGAACACACUCAAGUUGAUUUUGGAUUUGACUAUACACAUUUCUCAGAAGAGGGAACUUUCCUGUGAGUUAUCCAUGAUAGAAGAACUGGCAGGUAAGAAUUCUU
Molecule: long non-coding RNA, 298 nt
Filed under: Rhinopithecus bieti (black snub-nosed monkey)
Lineage: Eukaryota; Metazoa; Chordata; Mammalia; Primates; Cercopithecidae
Description: lncRNA (ENSRBIG00000046525.1)
Source: RNAcentral